RNAcentral lists this non-coding RNA (30 nucleotides) under Homo sapiens (human). The record is from RNAcentral. Lineage: Eukaryota; Metazoa; Chordata; Mammalia; Primates; Hominidae.
UAUCCAUGGUGUUGAAGCGUCGAGCCGACU